Molecule: ribosomal RNA, 1428 nt
Filed under: uncultured bacterium
Lineage: Bacteria
Description: bacterial SSU rRNA
Rfam family: Bacterial small subunit ribosomal RNA
Source: RNAcentral
UUUACACGAUAGCAAGGUCGCACGGCAGCACGGGAGCUGGCUCCUAGGUGGGCGAAGUUGGCGAACGGGUAGAGUUCACAUUAUCGGAACGUUAUCCAAUGAAGGGGGGCGAACUAAUCGAAAGGUGGGCUAAUACCGCAUACGCCCUGAGGGGGAAAGCUGGGGAACUUCGGACCUGGCGUUAAUGGAGCGGCCGAUAUCUGAUUAGCUAGUUGGUGAGGUAAAGGCUCACCAAGGCGACGAUCAGUAGCUGGUCUGAGAGGACGACCAGCCACACUGGAACUGAGACACGGUCCAGACUCCUACGGGAGGCAGCAGUGGGGAAUUUUGGACAAUGGGCGCAAGCCUGAUCCAGCCAUUCCGCGUGAGUGAAGAAGGCCUUCGGGUUGUAAAGCUCUUUCGCAAGGGAAGAAACGAUACAAGCGAAUAACUUGUGUUAAUGACGGUACCUUGAUAAGAAGCACCGGCUAACUACGUGCCAGCAGCCGCGGUAAUACGUAGGGUGCGAGCGUUAAUCGGAAUUACUGGGCGUAAAGCGUGCGCAGGCGGUUUUGUAAGUCAGAUGUGAAAUCCCCGAGCUCAACUUGGGAACUGCGUUUGAAACUACAAGACUAGAAUAGGUCAGAGGGGGGUAGAAUUCCACGUGUAGCAGUGAAAUGCGUAGAGAUGUGGAGGAAUAUCAAUGGCGAAGGCAGCCCCCUGGGAUCAUAUUGACGCUCAUGCACGAAAGCGUGGGGAGCAAACAGGAUUAGAUACCCUGGUAGUCCACGCCCUAAACGAUGUCAACUAGUUGUUGGUAGAGUAAAAUCUAUGAGUAACGCAGCUAACGCGUGAAGUUGACCGCCUGGGGAGUACGAUCGCAAGAUUAAAACUCAAAUGAAUUGACGGGGGCCCGCACAAGCGGUGGAUUAUGUGGAUUAAUUCGAUGCAACGCGAAAAACCUUACCUGGCCUUGACAUGUACGGAAGAUUUCAGAGAUGAGAUUGUGCUCGAAAGAGAACCGUAACACAGGUGCUGCAUGGCUGUCGUCAGCUCGUGUCGUGAGAUGUUGGGUUAAGUCCCGCAACGAGCGCAACCCUUGCCAAUAAUUGCCAUCAUUUAGUUGGGGCACUUUAUUGGGACUGCCGAUGACAAAUCGGAGGAAGGUGGGGAUGACGUCAAGUCCUCAUGGCCCUUAUGGCCAGGGCUUCACACGUAAUACAAUGGUCGGUACAGAGGGUUGCCAAGCCGCAAGGUGGAGCCAAUCCCAGAAAGCCGAUCGUAGUCCGGAUUGAGGUCUGCAACUCGACCUCAUGAAGUCGGAAUCGCUAGUAAUCGCGGAUCAGCAUGUCGCGGUGAAUACGUUCCCGGGCCUUGUACACACCGCCCGUCACACCAUGGGAGUGGGUUUACCAGAAGUAGGUAGUCUAACCGCAAGGAGGACGCUUA